RNAcentral lists this transfer RNA (72 nucleotides) under Camelus ferus (Wild Bactrian camel). It matches the Rfam family "tRNA". Rfam says of the family: Transfer RNA (tRNA) molecules are approximately 80 nucleotides in length. Their secondary structure includes four short double-helical elements and three loops (D, anti-codon, and T loops). Lineage: Eukaryota; Metazoa; Chordata; Mammalia; Artiodactyla; Camelidae. The record is from Rfam by way of RNAcentral.
GAGGAUAUAGCUCAGUGGUAGAGUACAUGCUUAGCAUGCACAAAGUCCUGGGUUCAAUCCCCAGUACCUCCA